Fopius arisanus is the source of this 2008-nucleotide RNA transcript. It is a transcript of the gene named odorant receptor 22a-like, with no coding region annotated. The record is from RefSeq and is a predicted model, not a curated record. Lineage: Eukaryota; Metazoa; Arthropoda; Insecta; Hymenoptera; Braconidae. The transcript is spliced from 8 exons.
GAGCCACGCAAUGCAGAAUAAUAAAUUGCUGAAUGUCACAGUAUUCUGGAACAUCUUACCUGCGUCAGUCGACAUUCUAUAUGGCAAAGAAUAAAUUUUUCCCGAUAAACAAGAGCUAUUUACACUUCAAUUUAGAGUGUAUGAGAGUCUUCGGUAUGUGGAAUCCAUAUGAACGAGGACCCAAGUACUGGUUCUAUCAAGUUUAUUCAGUAUACGUUGUCAACGUAAUAAUCGUACUGAGACUGAUGAACGUUUUCAUGCGAGGAAUAAAUGCCAAGAACUUCAACGAAUUUCUCGAGGAAUUCUCCUUGUUGACUGUGGGAACAGCUGAUAUGAUUAUGUCCAUCACUUUUUUAUUACACCGAGUUGAAGUGUUGGACUUGGCUGAUGCGUUUAAUUGGGAGAGAAAUUUGUUAGGGACUGACGAAAUUACCCAACAUCGGGACAGAGUGCUCACGAGCUCAAUCAGCUCAUGCAAAGUCUUCACCUUAGCCAUCAUGAUCACAUCAGUUCAAUACUGCACAUUUUCAUUUUACAAUAUCUUCAAUGAGGUCGAUUACCACAAGGAGAUGCUGCCGAUAGGAAUUGCACCGAUGAAGUACUGCUUUGUUCUCCCAAAUUUUUGGAUUGCUUUCAUGAGCGACUACUUGUCAUUAGUUCUCCUCAGCUUGGUUGGCGUCUCUCAUGACUCAUUCAUCAUGGCUGUGAUGAUAAAUAUCAAGUCACAAUUGAAAAUACUCAAUUUUCGAUUAGAACGAUGUCACAUGACCUGUUACAAUCCCCAUGAUGUCGUUCGAUUUGAUGAUUCAUCAGUCACUCAUUUCGAGUGCGUUGAGAGACCUAUCACUAAUAAGUCCAUGUCCCUCGAUCCGAAUGAAGAACUCAUCAAUUGCAUCAAACUUCAUCAAGAAAUUGUGAGGAUAUUACGAAUAUUCACAAAAAUUUAUAGCAAAGCAUUUCUACCUCAGUUGUUCAUCAGUUUGUUAUUAAUCACCGUACUUCUGUUACAGAUGAUUUUGGGAAAGGAAGGCAAUCAGACUGAUGCCCUAAGUGCACUAGGAUUCUUCAUUCCAGUUAUACUGCAAUUGCUGGCAUUCUGCUGGGGUGGAAAUAUCUUUAUUGUCGAGAGCGAUAAGUCAAGCAAUUCACUGUACGAAACCCAUUGGUACGACAGGGAUCGAGAAUUUAGGAAUAACCUGAGGAUAUUCCUAGGGGCUGUCAGGAAACCCUUGACUGUCAGCGCCGGUGGUUUCUGCGACUUGUCAGCUAUCACUUUCAAAAAUAUUCUCACUAAAGCUUACUCAGGAGUGGCGGUUCUGAACAAUGCGAAUGGAUGAAAUUCUAUAUUUCGUUUUCAGUAGUUAGACUGUCUUCUACAGUUGAUGCGAUCAACAGAGUCAUGUGUAGUUUCAAUAGAUUUUUACUGUUUAGAAUUUUUAAACUAAUAAAGACAAUCAUAAAAUUACUGUUUAUCGAUAAACCAAGAGCUGAGCAUUUGAAUUAAUCCACCAACCCUAUCCAUUCAUUGUCUCUAUACACCUAGAGUUAAUCUCAAUCGAUUUUUCUCUGUCAUUGAUAGCACUAGACUGAUGUCACAUGCAUCUUGGCGAGUUGCAGGGACCCUCAGCUGUAUGCAUUAAUAAAGAUUUAAUGCUUUAUGAAACGCUUACAUGUUUUAGUCACAAAAAUAAUAUAUGGGGUUCAUAGGAUAAUUACAGGAAUAAACUCUAUAGCAGUGAUGUUACAAAGAGAUCAAACCAUGCAAUACAGAAUAAUAAACUGCAAACAGAAAUUUGGACUCAAUGUUCUUCAACAUUCGAACUUCAUCACUCAUUCUAACAUUCGGCAUGGCGAGGAAGAUUUUUUUUCCGAUUGAUAAAAGCUAUCUUCACUUUAACUUGCAGUGUUUGAGUGUUCUCGGCUUAUGGAACCCAUACAAAAGAGGAGCGAAGUUCUGGCUGUACCAGAUAUACUGGGCCUACGUUGUUAAUGUCAUAAUGGCAAUGAG